Molecule: transfer RNA, 62 nt
Filed under: Phlogotettix monozoneus
Lineage: Eukaryota; Metazoa; Arthropoda; Insecta; Hemiptera; Cicadellidae
Description: tRNA-His
Source: RNAcentral
AUUUAAGUAGUUUAUAAAAAAUAUAGAGCUGUGGUUUCUAUGAAACUUGGAAGUCUUAAGUU